AAUACAUGCAAGUCGAACGCUUUGUGGUUCAACUGAUUUGAAGAGCUUGCUCAGAUAUGACGAUGGACAUUGCAAAGAGUGGCGAACGGGUGAGUAACACGUGGGAAACCUACCUCUUAGCAGGGGAUAACAUUUGGAAACAGAUGCUAAUACCGUAUAACAAUAGCAACCGCAUGGUUGCUACUUAAAAGAUGGUUCUGCUAUCACUAAGAGAUGGUCCCGCGGUGCAUUAGUUAGUUGGUGAGGUAAUGGCUCACCAAGACGAUGAUGCAUAGCCGAGUUGAGAGACUGAUCGGCCACAAUGGGACUGAGACACGGCCCAUACUCCUACGGGAGGCAGCAGUAGGGAAUCUUCCACAAUGGGCGAAAGCCUGAUGGAGCAACGCCGCGUGUGUGAUGAAGGGUUUCGGCUCGUAAAACACUGUUGUAAGAGAAGAAUGACAUUGAGAGUAACUGUUCAAUGUGUGACGGUAUCUUACCAGAAAGGAACGGCUAAAUACGUGCCAGCAGCCGCGGUAAUACGUAUGUUCCAAGCGUUAUCCGGAUUUAUUGGGCGUAAAGCGAGCGCAGACGGUUAUUUAAGUCUGAAGUGAAAGCCCUCAGCUCAACUGAGGAAUUGCUUUGGAAACUGGAUGACUUGAGUGCAGUAGAGGAAAGUGGAACUCCAUGUGUAGCGGUGAAAUGCGUAGAUAUAUGGAAGAACACCAGUGGCGAAGGCGGCUUUCUGGACUGUAACUGACGUUGAGGCUCGAAAGUGUGGGUAGCAAACAGGAUUAGAUACCCUGGUAGUCCACACCGUAAACGAUGAGUGCUAGGUGUUUUGAGGGUUUCCGCCCUUAAGUGCCGCAGCUAACGCAUUAAGCACUCCGCCUGGGGGAGUACGACCGCAAGGUUGAAACUCAAA
This 904-nucleotide ribosomal RNA is filed under the name Weissella sp. 3.8.43. RNAcentral's name for it is "bacterial SSU rRNA". It matches the Rfam family "Bacterial small subunit ribosomal RNA", at positions 50 to 905 of the family's 1533-position model. The record is from RNAcentral. Lineage: Bacteria; Bacillati; Bacillota; Bacilli; Lactobacillales; Lactobacillaceae.